This 23-nucleotide microRNA is filed under the name Corchorus olitorius. Its description in RNAcentral is "ame-miR-37". Lineage: Eukaryota; Viridiplantae; Streptophyta; Magnoliopsida; Malvales; Malvaceae. The record is from RNAcentral.
UGGAAAUAUUUUUUCAUUUUCAU